CCUUGCCAGCCCGCUCAGAAACUCAAAGGAAUUGACGGGGGCCCGCACAAGCGGAGGAGCAUGUGGUUAAUUCGAUGAUACGCGAGGAACCUUACCUGGGCUCGAACGUAAGAUGACUGUAGGUGAAAGCUUACAUCUCUUCGGAGCAUUUUACGAGGUGCUGCAUGGUUGUCGUCAGCUCGUGCCGUGAGGUGUCGGGUUAAGUCCCAUAACGAGCGCAACCCCUACCUUUAGUUGCCAUCAGGUUAAGCUGGGGACUCUAAAGGAACUGCCUACGCAAGUAGUGAGGAAGGCGGGGAUGACGUCAAAUCAGCACGGCCCUUACGUCCAGGGCUACACACGUGCUACAAUGGCCGAUACAGAGGGCAGCUACCUGGUGACAGGAUGCAAAUCUCCAAAGUCGGUCUCAGUUCGGAUCGGAGUCUGCAACCCGACUCCGUGAAGUUGGAUUCGCUAGUAAUCGCGCAUCAGCCAUGGCGCGGUGAAUACGUUCCCGGGCCUU
Molecule: ribosomal RNA, 502 nt
Filed under: uncultured Sphingobacteriales bacterium
Lineage: Bacteria; Pseudomonadati; Bacteroidota; Sphingobacteriia; Sphingobacteriales
Description: bacterial SSU rRNA
Rfam family: Bacterial small subunit ribosomal RNA
Source: RNAcentral